CCGGCUAACUUUUGUGUUUUUUGUAGAGGCGGGGUUUCACUAUGUUGCUCAGUCUGGUCUCCAACUCCUGGGCUCAAGCAACCCUCCCGCCUUGGCCUCCCAAAGUGCUGGGAAUCUAAGCUGUGGAACUUUCUUCAGAUUUCCCUGAGGACUGCAGGUGCACGACGGUCGUUUCUGGGCUCAGAGUAGGGCAACUCUCAGAUUGCAGCUCCUGCGAACCGUUCGCGACCGUCUCCAGCACUCGCGGACCCCCAGAGGAAUGUUUUAUUUUCUCCAUAGCAUUGAUGGAAUAUAUAUCCUUAUACGUUCCAUGUAUAUCUCAGCAAGAAUACGCAAGGAAGUGGUACCAGCGGUUGCCUCUAGGGAGAACUGGGGAGAUUGAGGGUAAAAUUUCCCUUUCUCGUGUGUAGUGUUUUUUUUCACUUUCCUGCCUGCAUGGAUUACCUUAAAAAAAUUCAACAUCAGGGAGUACCCAAGUUUGUGGCACAAGCAUGCACUGAGCACUUGCCUUGUGGCAGGCACCGUGAAGUCCCUGGGGUAGAGAGAAUCCAGAAACAAGGUUUCACUCUGUUGCCCAGGCUGGAGUGCAGUGCUCUUCACAGGUGUGAUUCCACUACUCAUCAGCGUGGGAGUUUUGACCUGCUCCGUUUCUGACCUGGGCCGGUUCACCCCUUCAUAGAGUGUGGCUGCUUUACCCAGGCUGGAGUGCAGUGGCGAGAUCUCAGCUCACUGC
Chlorocebus sabaeus (green monkey) is the source of this 733-nucleotide long non-coding RNA. RefSeq lists it as uncharacterized. The record is from RefSeq and is a predicted model, not a curated record. Lineage: Eukaryota; Metazoa; Chordata; Mammalia; Primates; Cercopithecidae.